Molecule: ribosomal RNA, 253 nt
Filed under: uncultured bacterium
Lineage: Bacteria
Description: partial 16S ribosomal RNA
Rfam family: Bacterial small subunit ribosomal RNA
Source: RNAcentral
CACGAACCGUACGAACGUUAUUCGGAAUUACUGGGCUUAAAGGGUUUGUAGGCGGCCUUGUAAGUCAGGUGUGAAAGCCCUCGGCUCAACCGAGGAACAGCGCUUGAUACUGCAAGGCUUGAGGGAGACAGAGGUAAGCGGAACUGAUGGUGGAGCGGUGAAAUGCGUUGAUAUCAUCAGGAACACCGGUGGCGAAAGCGGCUUACUGGGUCUCUUCUGACGCUGAGGAACGAAAGCUAGGGUAGCGAACGGG